RNAcentral lists this transfer RNA (73 nucleotides) under Phycisphaerae bacterium. RNAcentral describes it as "tRNA-Glu". It matches the Rfam family "tRNA". Rfam says of the family: Transfer RNA (tRNA) molecules are approximately 80 nucleotides in length. Their secondary structure includes four short double-helical elements and three loops (D, anti-codon, and T loops). Lineage: Bacteria; Pseudomonadati; Planctomycetota; Phycisphaerae. The record is from RNAcentral.
GGCCCCAUCGUCCAGCGGUCAGGAUCUGCGACUUUCAAUCGCGAGAGGGCGGGUUCGACUCCCCCUGGGGCCA